UCUGUGGUUCAAAGAUCAAACACAUGGUGUCCAGCUGAGUGGACAUGUUUGCAAUUCCAUGAAAAAUAGGUACACAAGAAAAAUUUCAAUUGCACAGUUAAUUUCAUGCCAAAAGAGAAAUACAAAACGCCUUGGAAAAAAAAAUCUUGAAUGAGGUUCUCAUAAUUCAUGCAUGAAAGGGUAUAUAUGAUCUUGGAG
Molecule: long non-coding RNA, 198 nt
Organism: Thalassophryne amazonica
Lineage: Eukaryota; Metazoa; Chordata; Actinopteri; Batrachoidiformes; Batrachoididae
Exons: 3
Source: RefSeq, a predicted model, not a curated record